UACGUAGGGUGCAAGCGUUAAUCGGAAUUACUGGGCGUAAAGCGUGCACAGGCGGUUUUGUAAGUCUGUCGUGAAAUCCCCGGGCUCAACCUGGGAAUUGCGAUGGAGACUGCAAGGCUAGAAUCUGGCAGAGGGGGGUAGAAUUCCACGUGUAGCAGUGAAAUGCGUAGAGAUGUGGAGGAACACCGAUGGCGAAGGCAGCCCCCUGGGUCAAGAUUGACGCUCAUGCCACGAAAGCGU
This 240-nucleotide ribosomal RNA is filed under the name uncultured bacterium. RNAcentral describes it as "partial 16S ribosomal RNA". It matches the Rfam family "Bacterial small subunit ribosomal RNA", at positions 524 to 762 of the family's 1533-position model. The record is from RNAcentral.